RNAcentral lists this long non-coding RNA (314 nucleotides) under Elaeis guineensis (African oil palm). RNAcentral's name for it is "long non-coding RNA (EGUI_LNC038471)". Lineage: Eukaryota; Viridiplantae; Streptophyta; Magnoliopsida; Arecales; Arecaceae. The record is from RNAcentral.
UGACUUUGGUGUUAUAGUACUGAGCUAUCUUUUGUCGAUACGUGGCCAUGCGAAGUUGAGCUUCACGUUGGAGUUCUGGUAGGAGAUCCAAAUCGACUCUCUGACACUCGAAGUUGUUCGAUUCAUUGUAUUGCUCAACUCUUAUCAUGGUAACCCGAUCUCGAGUGGGAUCAUCGCUUCCAUCUCAUAGGCUAAGUUGAAAGGAGACUCUCCAGUCGGUAUAUGGAGAGUUGUCUGAUACACCCAUAAGACUGGAUAUAGCUCUUCGACCCAAAGAUGCUUAGCCUCAUUCAGUCAGAUCUUUAGCCCAUGCA